UACGAAGGGGGCUAGCGUUGCUCGGAAUCACUGGGCGUAAAGGGUGCGUAGGCGGGUCUUUAAGUCAGAGGUGAAAUCCCGGGGCUCAACCCCGGAACUGCCUUUGAAACUGGAGAGCUAGAAUCUUGGAGAGGCGAGUGGAAUUCCGAGUGUAGAGGUGAAAUUCGUAGAUAUUCGGAAGAACACCAGUGGCGAAGGCGACUCGCUGGACAAGUAUUGACGCUGAGGUGCGAAAGCGUGGGGAGCAAACAGG
This 253-nucleotide ribosomal RNA is filed under the name uncultured bacterium. RNAcentral's name for it is "partial 16S ribosomal RNA". It matches the Rfam family "Bacterial small subunit ribosomal RNA", at positions 524 to 776 of the family's 1533-position model. The record is from RNAcentral.